UACGGAGGGUGCAAGCGUUAUCCGGAUUUACUGGGUUUAAAGGGUGCGUAGGUGGGUCUGUAAGUCAGUGGUGAAAUCUCCGAGCUUAACUCGGAAACUGCCAUUGAUACUAUAGGUCUUGAAUCAUCUGGAGGUGAGCGGAAUAUGUCAUGUAGCGGUGAAAUGCUUAGAUAUGACAUAGAACACCAAUUGCGAAGGCAGCUCACUACGGAUGUAUUGACACUGAGGCGCGAAAGCGUGGGGAGCGAACAGG
RNAcentral lists this ribosomal RNA (253 nucleotides) under uncultured bacterium. Its description in RNAcentral is "partial 16S ribosomal RNA". It matches the Rfam family "Bacterial small subunit ribosomal RNA", at positions 524 to 776 of the family's 1533-position model. The record is from RNAcentral.